This 243-nucleotide long non-coding RNA is filed under the name Homo sapiens (human). Its description in RNAcentral is "HSALNT0229531". The record is from RNAcentral. Lineage: Eukaryota; Metazoa; Chordata; Mammalia; Primates; Hominidae.
GUGAUCCACCCACCUCGGCCUCCCAAAGUGCUGGGAUUAAAGGCGUGAGGCAAUGCGCCCGGCCAGGAGUUUUUACAAGGAGGAAGCUGAAGCUGGAAAGGCACGGAAAAGGAUCCUCCCCUAGAGCCUCAGAAGGAAGCAGCCGUGCGGACACCUUGGUGUCAGGCUUCUGGCUCACUGAACCGAGUCACGUACAAUCACAUUGUGAAACUUGGGAAACAACGCUUCCUUCCUUCAAAGUCA